CCUCUGGUGUGUAGGUUGUUCUGCCAAGAGCAACGCCUAGUAGCUAUGUCCGGAUGGGCUAACCGCUGAAAGCAUCUAAGCGGGAAGCCCACCCUAAGAUAAGAUAUCCCGUGGUAUUCAAGGUUAUUUUAAGCCUUAGAGUAAAGGUCUUCGGAUCUUUAUAAAGAGGUAGCGAAUAAUUUUGAUCCACCUUAAGACUCCUGGGAGAUCACCAGGUUAAUAGGCUGCAGGUGUAAGCACAGUAAUGUGUUCAGCCGAGCAGUACUAAUCAGUCGUGUGGCUUGAUCAU
This 289-nucleotide ribosomal RNA is filed under the name Candidatus Desantisiibacteriota bacterium. Its description in RNAcentral is "partial 23S ribosomal RNA". It matches the Rfam family "Bacterial large subunit ribosomal RNA", at positions 2706 to 2925 of the family's 2925-position model. The record is from RNAcentral. Lineage: Bacteria; Candidatus Desantisiibacteriota.